This 393-nucleotide ribosomal RNA is filed under the name uncultured bacterium. RNAcentral's name for it is "partial 16S ribosomal RNA". It matches the Rfam family "Bacterial small subunit ribosomal RNA", at positions 523 to 918 of the family's 1533-position model. The record is from RNAcentral.
AUACGGAGGAUGCGAGCGUUAUCCGGAUUUAUUGGGUUUAAAGGGUGCGUAGGCUGUUUGGUAAGUCAGGGGUGAAAUGCCGUCGCUCAACGACGGAGCUGCCCUUGAUACUGCCGAGCAGGAGUACGGAUGCCGUUGGAGGAAUGAGUGGUGUAGCGGUGAAAUGCAUAGAUAUCACUCAGAACACCGAUUGCGAAGGCAUCUGACGAAUCGGUCACUGACGCUGAGGCACGAAGGCGUGGGGAUAGAACAGGAUUAGAUACCCUGGUAUUCCACGCCGUAAACGAUGAUGACUAACCGCCUGCGAUAUAGUGUAGGUGGCCAAGCGAAAGCGAUAAGUCAUCCACCUGGGGAGUACGACCGCAAGGUUGAAACUCAAAGGAAUUGACGGGG